UACGUAGGGGGCCAGCGUUGCUCGGAAUUACUGGGCGUAAAGGGUUCGUAGGUGGUGCGGCAAGUUGGGAGUGAAAUCUCUGGGCUUAACCCAGAGGCUGCUUUCAAAACUGCCGCGCUCGAGUGCGAGAGAGGUCAGUGGAAUUGCAGGUGUAGCGGUGAAAUGCGUAGAUAUCUGCAGGAACACCCGUGGCGAAGGCGGCUGACUGGAUCGCAACUGACACUGAGGCGCGAAAGCGUGGGUAGCAAACAGG
RNAcentral lists this ribosomal RNA (253 nucleotides) under uncultured prokaryote. RNAcentral describes it as "partial 16S ribosomal RNA". It matches the Rfam family "Bacterial small subunit ribosomal RNA", at positions 524 to 776 of the family's 1533-position model. The record is from RNAcentral.